RNAcentral lists this long non-coding RNA (1705 nucleotides) under Malus domestica (apple). Its description in RNAcentral is "long non-coding RNA (MDOM_LNC015307)". The record is from RNAcentral. Lineage: Eukaryota; Viridiplantae; Streptophyta; Magnoliopsida; Rosales; Rosaceae.
AGUUGAUUUAAUAACCCACUUAAGGUGGACUUAAAUAGGCUUUGAGAGAAGUUUAUUUCCCUUUCCUAGAAGGACCUAAUUUCCAAUUAAAGAGAGAAUCAACAUCAAAAUAGGGAGCAAUCCUACGUUUCCUGAAGCAAGAAGAUCUCUACACCUGCUGCCCUUUCUUACGAGCAGCCCAACAGGUGUGGGGGCAUUUGUGGAGCCAAAAAUAAUCACAAGGCGACACGUGGAUCUUUGGAUAAAAAAGGACAAGAAUACCCUUGAGGCACAUUGGGAUUCCUACGCGCGAGUAGCGGUGUCACAUCCCGGCCAGCACACCUUGAUUCUAGGAUCGGGGUGUGUCAAGCAGAGAAUCAUCUUUCAACAAAAUCAAAAAUGCUCCAAAAGAGGUAACCAAUUCAAAGUCCAUCUCAUCAAAUCCCUUUUUGCAAGGUAACCUACAAAAUAAUGUUAAUUGGUUAAUUAAUGGAUUAAUUACCCAAUUAAUCCAUUAAACAUCAAUUAAAUUACCCAAUUAAUCACAAAAUAUAUCCCAUUCACCCUAAAAAUAGGUAGUGGCCGGUCACCUCACAUUCUUCUUAGUCUUUCUUACUUUUCCCCAUUUUACUACCCCAUUUAUACAAAUAAAUAAUUUUAUAACCUCCCAUUUACUUCUUUCAUACUUAAUUAGCCAAUAAAUUGGCUAAUUAAGCCAAAAUCAUAACCACAAAAACCAUCAAGGCCGGCCACACCAAGGGGAAAAAUGGGUAAGCUUAAUCCUAUAAAUAGGCACUUAUUCUCACCAAAAAGUCAUUCCAAUUCUCUUACAAAAAAUCCCAAAUACUCUAAACACUAAUUCUCUCUAAAAUUCUAACUUUGGCAUCGAAGGUUCUUCGGCCAAAGCCCCCCCCCCAUUCAUCAUGGGCGCGUGAGCCUUUUGGCCUUAACCUAAGGUGCUAGUUGUUUUGUAGGUGCAAAAUCGUCCAAGAUCGAGGAGGAGAAAAUUUGCAUCCACAACACACACCAUUGAACUUGAUGGGAUACGAAUUAUACGAAACUAAUUUCAACAAUCCAACCUUCAAACUUGUUUGUAAAUGCUUCGAGAUCGCAUCAGCAAAAAGUUGCAAAAAAACAAACAUUCUGAGAUCAAGUAACGGGACAAAACUUUUCGACGGUUAUCAACGAAAAAUCACAAUUUAAUGGUUAUUUUAACCCCAAUUUUGAUGAUUUUUUACACCUACACUCCUUGACCCUAUACGAAUACAAUGAAUGAACUCAAUCUUCAAUUUAAAAUAUUUACAUUAGUGGAUACCACAAAAUUUUAUGUUAUACUUAAUGAAAGUAUGAAUAAACUCUUAAGUGUUAGUGAAUCUAUUGUUUUGAUGAGAUACGUAUUCUACGAAACUAGUUUCAACGAUCCAACCAUCAAACAUGUUUGUAUAUACUUCGAGAUCGCAUACACCAAAAAUUGCAAAAAACAAACAUUUAGAGAUCAAGUAACGGGAGAAAACUUUUCGACGGUUAUCAAUGAAAAAUCAUGAUUUAACGGUUAUUUUAACUCUGAUUUUGAUAUUUUUUUACAGUUAGACUCCUUGUGUCACAUCCCAGCCCGGGUCCACCACAUCCCAGCCCGGGUCCACCACAUCCCAGGCCCUUUCCACUACCGUAGCACGAUAUUGUCCGCUUUGGGCUUACCAUUCCCUCACAGUUUUGUUUUUGGGAA